RNAcentral lists this transfer RNA (73 nucleotides) under Mycobacterium intracellulare. RNAcentral's name for it is "tRNA-Thr". It matches the Rfam family "tRNA". Rfam says of the family: Transfer RNA (tRNA) molecules are approximately 80 nucleotides in length. Lineage: Bacteria; Bacillati; Actinomycetota; Actinomycetes; Mycobacteriales; Mycobacteriaceae. The record is from RNAcentral.
GUCAACAUAGCUCAAUUGGCAGAGCGCAUGUAUUGUGAACAUGAGGUUGCGGGUUCGAAUCCCGUUGUUGGGU